RNAcentral lists this ribosomal RNA (253 nucleotides) under uncultured bacterium. RNAcentral's name for it is "partial 16S ribosomal RNA". It matches the Rfam family "Bacterial small subunit ribosomal RNA", at positions 524 to 776 of the family's 1533-position model. The record is from RNAcentral.
UACGUAGGGGGCAAGCGUUGUCCGGAUUUAUUGGGCGUAAAGAGCGUGUAGGCGGCCAGGUAGGUCCGUUGUGAAAACUCGAGGCUCAACCUCGAGCUGUCGAUGGAAACCAUCUGGCUAGAGUCCGGAAGAGGAGAGUGGAAUUCCUGGUGUAGCGGUGAAAUGCGCAGAUAUCAGGAAGAACACCCGUGGCGAAGGCGGCUCUCUGGUACGUGACUGACGCUGAGACGCGAAAGCGUGGGGAGCGAACAGG